This is a long non-coding RNA of Oncorhynchus keta (chum salmon), 1876 nucleotides long. RefSeq lists it as uncharacterized. The record is from RefSeq and is a predicted model, not a curated record. The transcript has 3 exons. Lineage: Eukaryota; Metazoa; Chordata; Actinopteri; Salmoniformes; Salmonidae.
GUACACACACACACACACCCCUGUUGUAGUGUACACACACACACACACACACACACACAUCCCUGUUGUAGUGUAAAGACACACAUCCCUGUUGUAGUGUACAGACACACACACAUCCCUGUUGUAGUGUAAAGACACACAUCCCUGUUGUAGUGUACAGACACACACACAUCCCUGUUGUAGUGUAAAGACACACAUCCCUGUUGUAGUGUAAAGACACACAUCCCUGUUGUAGUGUAAAGACACACAUCCCUGUUGUAGUGUACAGACACACACACAUCCCUGUUGUAGUGUAAAGACACACAUCCCUGUUGUAGUGUAAAGACACACACACAUCCCUGUUGUAGUGUAAAGACACACAUCCCUGUUGUAGUGUACAGACACACACACAUCCCUGUUGUAGUGUAAAGACACACACACAUCCCUGUUGUAGUGUAAAGACACACAUCCCUGUUGUAGUGUAAAGACACACACACACAUCCCUGUUGUAGUGUAAAGACACACAUCCCUGUUGUAGUGUAAAGACACACAUCCCUGUUGUAGUGUAAAGACACACAUCCCUGUUGUAGUGUACAGACACACACACAUCCCUGUUGUAGUGUAAAGACACACAUCCCUGUUGUAGUGUAAAGACACACAUCCCUGUUGUAGUGUAAAGACACACACACACACACACAUCCCUGUUGUAGUGUACACACACACACACACACACACACACACACACACACACACAUCCCUGUUGUAGUGUAAAGACACACACACACACACACACCCCUGUUGUAGUGUACACACACACACACACACACACACACACACAUCCCUGUUGUAGUGUAAAGACACACAUCCCUGUUGUAGUGUACAGACACACAUCCCUGUUGUAGUGUACAGACACACAUCCCUGUUGUAGUGUACAGACACACACACAUCCCUGUUGUAGUGUACAGACACACACAUCCCUGUUGUAGUGUACAGACACACACAUCCCUGUUGUAGUGUACAGACACACACAUCCCUGUUGUAGUGUAACAGACACACACAUCCCUGUUGUAGUGUAAAGACACACACACACACACACAUCCCUGUUGUAGUGUAAAGACACACAUCCCUGUUGUAGUGUAAAGACACACACAUCCCUGUUGUAGUGUAAAGACACACACACACACACACAUCCCUGUUGUAGUGUAAAGACACACAUCCCUGUUGUAGUGUAAAGACACACAUCCCUGUUGUAGUGUAAAGACACACAUCCCUGUUGUAGUGUACAGACACAGGGAUCCCCAGGUGUUCUCUCUGUGUCCCCAGGUGGUGUCUCUGUCUAACAGGUGUUCUCUCUGUGUCCCCAGGUGGUGUCUCUGUCUGACAGGUGGUCUCUCUGUGUCCCCAGGUGGUGUCUCUGUCUAACAGGUGUUCUCUCUGUGUCCCCAGGUGGUGUCUCUGUCUAACAGGUGUUCUCUCUGUGUCCCCAGGUGGUGUCUCUGUCUGACAGGUGGUCUCUCUGUGUCCCCAGGUGGUGUCUCUGUCUAACAGGUGUUCUCUCUGUGUCCCCAGGUGGUGUCUCUGUCUGACAGGUGGUCUCUCUGUGUCCCCAGGUGGUGUCUCUGUCUGACUGGUGUUCUCUCUGUGUCCCCAGGUGGUGUCUCUGUCUAACAGGUGUUCUCUCUGUGUCCCCAGGUGGUGUCUCUGUCUAACAGGUGUUCUCUCUGUGUCCCCAGGUGGUGUCUCUGUCUAACAGGUGUUCUCUCUGUGUCCCCAGGUGGUGUCUCUGUCUAACAGGUGUUCUCUCUGUGUCCCCAGGUGGUGUCUCUGUCUAACAGGUGUUCUCUCUGUGUCCCCAGGUGGUGUCUCUGUCUAACAGGUGUUCUCUCUGUGUCCCCAG